UGGGGAAUAUUGGACAAUGGGCGCAAGCCUGAUCCAGCCAUGCCGCGUGAGUGAAGAGGGCCCUAGGGUUGUAAAGCUCUUUCACCCGUGAAGAUGAUGACGGUAGCGGGAGAAGAAGCCCCGGCUAACUCCGUGCCAGCAGCCGCGGUAAGACGGAGGGCGCUAGCGUUGUUCGGAAUCACUGGGCGUAAAGGGCGCGCAGGCGGCUGUUUAAGUCGAGGGUGAAAGCCCGGGGCUUAACCCCGGAACGGCCUUCGAGACUGGGCAGCUCGAGACCGGAAGAGGAGGGUGGAAUACCCAGUGUAGAGGUGAAAUUCGUAGAUAUUGGGUGGAACACCAGUGGCGAAAGCGGCUCUCUGGCCCGGAUCUGACGCUGAGGCGCGAAAGCGUGGGGAGCAAACAGGAUUAGAUACCCCCGUAGUCC
Molecule: ribosomal RNA, 424 nt
Filed under: uncultured prokaryote
Description: bacterial SSU rRNA
Rfam family: Bacterial small subunit ribosomal RNA
Source: RNAcentral